Molecule: long non-coding RNA, 1021 nt
Filed under: Gallus gallus (chicken)
Lineage: Eukaryota; Metazoa; Chordata; Aves; Galliformes; Phasianidae
Description: long non-coding RNA NONGGAT005816
Source: RNAcentral
CCCUCUUGUCACUUCAUUGCACAUUAAUGUCACUCUCCGUGCCUGCCAUAGGGCUCCUGCUUGUUGGGACCUGGGCUGCGGUGCUGCCUUGUGCGUGGGGAGGUGUAUUUGGUGCUCAUCCCCUCUUCUGUGAGCACAAAACUGCAGCGAGCUGCGCCUGAGCAACGGCACAGCGCUCCCAAAAUAGCAUCUAUGCGAACUUCUGCCUGACAUAUGGUAUUUGUUUGACUGUGUAAAUAACCCCCCAAAAACAAGGGCAGCUCCAGUGCGCUCCCAAUUGGUUUUUCACCACGGUGAUGCGAGCACGGGGCGAGUUACUGCGUGAGAUGGCUGAUGGUGCUGUGCGUCUCCAGGUCUGUGCGAAGGGCACUGCUGCGUUCUCCAUCUCUGCCUGUGAGAGGGGCUGAGCUGCUAUGGGGGGCUGUGGCCAAGCAAGGGCCCUCCUGCUGCCGUGGUCCCCGUGCCGUGCUUGGUCAGUGCUCGCGGUGGAAACGAUCACCUACGUGUCGAGUCCAUUGGAUCCAUCAGCAUCAGUCUAUAAAGUGUAAAGCGGGUAACGCAGUCGAUACGAGAAACCAACCCUAUACGAGAUGCCGAGCGACGUAACGCGACUGGCUCCAGUUUCAACAGCAAUGGAUACGAAAGCAAGUCCAUCCAGUGCAGGUAAGAGAUGAGCUCCACUGCAGUAAUACUGAAGUUGCCUUUUUCAGCACUUAGCACAGUGAGGUGGGGCGAGGAAAGGAGAGAUGCUCCAAGAAAGGGCCCGCGGGUGCUGCCGGGGCUGCUGGCACGGAGCGGCGGCACCGUCCCCUCCGGAGCCGCGGGGCGAAGGGGAGCAGCGCCGGCAGCGCCGGGUGAAGUUCCACAGCUGUUUCCUGCCGACCGCUCCGUGUACGCGCCGGAGGAGGACAUGGCUCUGAGUUUCGGGGAUCACAGUAGUGCGCAGUGGGUACAGCAGGGAGCGGACGCUGGCGAGGCUCCUGCAGAAGCAGCUGCCAGCCCUUUCUUAAAGCACUUGGUU